UACGUAGGGUGCGAGCGUUAAUCGGAAUUACUGGGCGUAAAGCGCGCGUAGGUGGUUCAGCAAGUUGGAUGUGAAAGCCCCGGGCUCAACCUGGGAACUGCAUCCAAAACUACUGGGCUAGAGUAUGGUAGAGGGUGGUGGAAUUUCCUGUGUAGCGGUGAAAUGCGUAGAUAUAGGAAGGAACACCAGUGGCGAAGGCGACCACCUGGACUAAUACUGACACUGAGGUGCGAAAGCGUGGGGAGCAAACAGG
This 253-nucleotide ribosomal RNA is filed under the name uncultured bacterium. RNAcentral describes it as "partial 16S ribosomal RNA". It matches the Rfam family "Bacterial small subunit ribosomal RNA", at positions 524 to 776 of the family's 1533-position model. The record is from RNAcentral.